UACACAUUUGGUUAUUAGUUUCUAGCAGUAAUCCUCAACAUAAGGCCAUAGGAUCAUUGGAGAACAAACAAGUAAGUCUCAUGACUUGCCAAGAAGAUAAACUACAGCUGUAUCUUACCUUUAUGCAGUUACCCAGGCACUGGCAGUGAAGAUGGAGUUAAAUAGGUAACCGGUCUCAAAGAGGGAAAGGGAAAAAACCAGGAAUAGCUUCUGCUGAAUAUUUUAGCUGAUGUUAUCUCAUUCAUGUGGCAGACCAGUAACAGGAAAAUAAAUGACUCUCAUCCUUUUGCUUUGUUCUCAAUGAAGAAGGAGAGCAUUUGAACAGGGAAAUGAAUUCGGCCAACAACCAAUGGGCUUGGAGGAUGCCUCCAGCUUCAAGUGAGACCUACAGCCUGGCCAACACCCUGAGAUCAGCCUGAUAAAGUCCUGAGCAGAAAAUCCAGCCAUACCUGGAGUUUUGAUGAAAAAACAGUGAGAUAAUAAAUUUGUGCUGUUUUAUGCCAC
This 504-nucleotide long non-coding RNA is filed under the name Equus caballus (horse). RNAcentral describes it as "lncRNA (ENSECAG00000040422.3)". Lineage: Eukaryota; Metazoa; Chordata; Mammalia; Perissodactyla; Equidae. The record is from RNAcentral.